Molecule: long non-coding RNA, 958 nt
Filed under: Homo sapiens (human)
Lineage: Eukaryota; Metazoa; Chordata; Mammalia; Primates; Hominidae
Description: HSALNT0370739
Source: RNAcentral
GGUUCAGAUUUCAGGGCCGUUUGUAUUGUGGUGGUUUCUUUAUGUUCAAGGUUAUCCACACCAGGCAGAGGACAAACUCCACUCCUGGCCUUCCUGCCCAGCUAGAUUUAAGGAUUGUAACCAGGACAGUGAGUCCCUUCUGGGAAAGGGGCCUCGUGGAGGUUAUGAAAUCCAGCAGGUCAUGGAAGGAGAAACGAUUGACAAUCCAGACGGGAUGGAGGCAGGAGUUGGCUCAGUAACCCCAUCUUUCCUAUCCACCAGCACUCCCCUGCGCUUCCCAAGUGAUUUAAUUAUCCAUUCUUUAACUGCAACUCGGUUAGCCCUGAAAUUUGGGUGAAGAGAAAUCAGACACAGCAACUAAAAUAUUCCAGCAUGCAAACUUGAUCUCUUCGAUUGACUACCCCACCCAAAAGCUGUGCAGAAAGCCCCCUAGCACGUACACUGAUUUGGACUGGAAACUGGAGCCGCCGUCGCUGUGAAGAGAUGUGAAGUGACCAGACUUCCAUGUGUGAUGAUUAAUUUUAUGUGUCUACUGGACUAGGUUAAGGGAUGCCCAGAUGGCUGGUAAAACAUUAUUUCUGGGUAUGUCCGUGAGGGUAUUUCCAGAAGAGAUUAGCAUUUGAAUCGGUAGAUUGAAUAAUGUUUGCCUUCACCAAUCCAGGUGAGCGUCAUGUCAUCCACUGAGAGCUCAAAUAGAAAAAGGUUUAGGAAGCAUGAAUUUGCUGUCUGCUUGAGCUGGAACAUCACCUUCUCUUGCCCUCAGGCAUCAGCACUCCUGGUUUGGGGGACUUAGGAUUCAGACUGGGACCUAUGCCAUUGGUUUCCCUGGUUCUCAGGCCUCUGGGCUUCAUUGGACUGGAACUAUACUACCAGUUUUCCUGGGUCUUCAGCUUGCAGAUGGCAGAUUGUGGAACUUCUCAGUCUUCAUAAUUGUGUGAGCCAAUCCCCCAUAAUAAAU